This 931-nucleotide ribosomal RNA is filed under the name Spea multiplicata (Mexican spadefoot toad). Its description in RNAcentral is "eukaryotic LSU rRNA". The stretch from base 268 to 931 matches the Rfam family "Eukaryotic large subunit ribosomal RNA", at positions 665 to 1263 of the family's 3401-position model. Lineage: Eukaryota; Metazoa; Chordata; Amphibia; Anura; Pelobatidae. The record is from RNAcentral.
CUCAGGCAGCAGCGUCGCCGUCACCCGGGGCCGAGGGAGAAGACGCCUCCGCGCCCUCCCCCCGCUGAACCGUCCCGUCGCCGUCCCCCGGGCGGCGGGCGCGGNGCGNGGAAGGGGUACGGGGCCCCCCGCUCCCGGCGCGGCUGUCAACCGGGGCGGACUGUCCUCAGUGCGCCCCGCCCGCCUGCGCCGCCGAGGCGGGAGGGCCGAGGGGAGGCGCCAAGGGUCAGCGCAUGUCGGUACCCACCCGACCCGUCUUGAAACACGACCAAGGAGUCUAACGCGCGCGCGAGUCGGAGGGCUCGCAGCGAAACCCUGUGGCGCAAUGAAGGUGAGGGGGGGCGACCCCGGCUGAGGUGGGAUCGCCGCCGCGCGGCGGGCGCACCACCGGCCCGUCUCGCCGGCACCGUCCGGAGGUACCACGCCCGUCUCGCCGCACCGUCCGGGAGGUGGAGCGAGAGCGCGCGCGAUAGGACCCGAAAGAUGGUGAACUAUGCCUGGGCAGGCGAAGCCAGAGGAAACUCUGGUGGAGGUCCGUAGCGGUCCUGACGUGCAAAUCGGUCGUCCGACCUGGGUAUAGGGGCGAAAGACUAAUCGAACCAUCUAGUAGCUGGUUCCCUCCGAAGUUUCCCUCAGGAUAGCUGGCGCUCUCUCCNUCCGCAGUUUUAUCCGGUAAAGCGAAUGAUUAGAGGUCUUGGGGCCGAAACGAUCUCAACCUAUUCUCAAACUUUAAAUGGGUAAGAAGCCCGGCUGCGCUGGCCUGGAGGCCGGGCAUGGAAUGCGAGCGCCUAGUGUGCACACUUUGGUAAGCAGACACUGGCGCUGCGGGAUGAACCGAACGCCGGGUUAAGGNGCCCGAUGCCGACGCUCAUCAGACCCCAGAAAAGGUGGUUGGUUGAUAUAGACAGCAGGACGGUGGCCAUGGAAGUCG